Echinostoma caproni is the source of this 46-nucleotide non-coding RNA. The record is from Rfam. NCBI's taxonomy places the organism in Eukaryota, Metazoa, Platyhelminthes, Trematoda, Plagiorchiida, Echinostomatidae.
UCCAAGGCCUUUUUGAAGGCCACAACUGUUGAACAGCUUAUGACAU